RNAcentral lists this ribosomal RNA (525 nucleotides) under Pilumnus vespertilio. RNAcentral describes it as "partial 16S ribosomal RNA". It matches the Rfam family "Archaeal large subunit ribosomal RNA", at positions 1902 to 2672 of the family's 2987-position model. Lineage: Eukaryota; Metazoa; Arthropoda; Malacostraca; Decapoda; Pilumnidae. The record is from RNAcentral.
AAAACAUGUUUGUUUGAAGGUAAAAAUAGUCUAGCCUGCUCACUGAUGAGAUUAAAGAGCCGCGGUAUAUUGACCGUGCAAAGGUAGCAUAAUCAUUAGUUUUUUAAUUGAGAACUUGUAUGAAUGGUUGGACAAAGGAAAAGCUGUCUGUGUUUUAUAAAUAUUGAAUUUAACUUUUAAGUGAAAAGGCUUAAAUAAUUUAAAAAGACGAUAAGACCCUAUAAAACUUUAUAUAAAUUUAAAUUUAAUUGAAUUUUAAAAAUUUAAUUUAAUGUAAUAUUUUAUUGGGGCGAUAAAGGUAUAAGUUUAUAUUAACUGCUUUAAAUAAAAACAAUAAUAUUUGAAUAUUAUAAAUGAUCCUUUUAUAAAGAAUGAAAGACUAAGUUACUUUAGGGAUAACAGCGUAAUUUCUUUUGAGAGCCCGUAUCGAAAAAGAAGAUUGCGACCUCGAUGUUGAAUUAAAAUGUCUAUUAUAGGGCAGCUCCUAAAUAAGAAGAUCUGUUCGAUCUUUAAAUUUUUACAUGA